Molecule: ribosomal RNA, 253 nt
Filed under: uncultured bacterium
Lineage: Bacteria
Description: partial 16S ribosomal RNA
Rfam family: Bacterial small subunit ribosomal RNA
Source: RNAcentral
UACGUAGGGUGCAAGCGUUAAUCGGAAUUACUGGGCGUAAAGCGUGCGCAGGCGGUUGUGCAAGACCGAUGUGAAAGCCCCGGGCUUAACCUGGGAAUGGCAUUUGGGACUGCAAGGCUUGAGUGCGGCAGAGGAGACUGGAAUUCCUGGUGUAGCAGUGAAAUGCGUAGAUAUCAGGAGGAAUACCGAUGGCGAAGGCAGGUCUCUGGGCUGACACUGACGCUCAUGCACGAAAGCGUGGGGAGCAAACAGG